RNAcentral lists this long non-coding RNA (749 nucleotides) under Monodelphis domestica (gray short-tailed opossum). Its description in RNAcentral is "lncRNA (ENSMODG00000036399.1)". Lineage: Eukaryota; Metazoa; Chordata; Mammalia; Didelphimorphia; Didelphidae. The record is from RNAcentral.
GAUGCUGGGGAGGAAGUGACUGUAGGCUGGCCAGCUGCAUCCUUCAGGAGGCACCAGACACCUGCAACCACCAGGGUUAUUGAAGCAAGAUCCCAGAAGGUAGGGGCUACUUAAUUGUGUUUUUUGGUCUUUCUCUCUUCUAGCACCUGAUAAUUGCUUUAUAAAAUUCUUGUUUGCUGAAUGUAUGACAUCACUACACAUUUAGGAUGUAUUGCCUCAUUUGGGAGCCUUCAAAGCUGUUCAACAGUCCUUCAGCUCUACCCUUAUCUGGACUCUCUUCUCCAAGCCACCAAGAGCCCAAAUGGUGAAACUGCAAAGGACUGAGUAACCCAUGGUAAAGAAGGGUAACUUCACUGUGUUAUUCAAAUUAUCCUGGAGCUACUUCCCAAAAGAUUUCCAAAUGGGAAAGAAGAUAAGAGCCAGUUAGCUACUGUUAUUUUGGUUCUGCUGCCAUCUUAAAGAAGAGGGAAAUCUAUAACACUUCUGUUUAAAUGCCACUCUCUAAGAUCUUACAAUCUUAGAAUUUUAGAUCUCAGAAGUCCCUUUAAAAUUGUUGGAUAGUGGAAAGUGAAAUGAAUUGAGAAUGAAAAGACCUUGGUUCUAAUCCUGGUUCUUCUGGUAAAUGGAGUUAGGAUCCCUCCUUUUCUUGUCUUUAAAAUGAUGGAAUUAGCCCAGAUAACACCUAAUGUUCUGGUUCCUCCUAGUUUCAAAAUAAUAAACUUCUUCAAGCUUGACUGCCUCUAUAGUCA